Molecule: microRNA, 20 nt
Filed under: Gallus gallus (chicken)
Lineage: Eukaryota; Metazoa; Chordata; Aves; Galliformes; Phasianidae
Description: microRNA Ros-gga
Source: RNAcentral
GGUAGGGGGCGGCGGUGGGU